This 460-nucleotide ribosomal RNA is filed under the name uncultured bacterium. RNAcentral's name for it is "partial 16S ribosomal RNA". It matches the Rfam family "Bacterial small subunit ribosomal RNA", at positions 338 to 795 of the family's 1533-position model. The record is from RNAcentral.
CCUACGGGCGGCUGCAGUGAGGAAUAUUGGUCAAUGGACGGAAGUCUGAACCAGCCAUGCCGCGUGCAGGAAGACGGCACUAUGAGUUGUAAACUGCUUUUGUACAAGGGUAAACCUGAAUACGUGUAUUCAGCUGACAGUACUGUACGACGAAGGAUCGGCUAACUCCGUGCCAGCAGCCGCGGUAAUACGGAGGAUCCAAGCGUUAUCCGGAUUUAUUGGGUUUAAGGGGGGCGUAGUCGGAUUGAUAAGUUAGAGGUGAAAUGUCCGGGCUUAACUCGGGAACUGCCUCUAAUACUGUUGAUCUAGAGAGUAGGUGCGGAAGGCGGAAUGUAUGGUGUAGCGGUGGAAUGCUUAGAGAUCAGACAGAACACCAAUUGCGAAGGCAGCUAACCAAUCUAUAUCUGACGUUGAGGCACGAAAGCGUGGGGAGCAAACAGGAUUAGAUACCCGAGUAGUC